This is a long non-coding RNA of Neogale vison (American mink), 1259 nucleotides long. RefSeq lists it as uncharacterized. The record is from RefSeq and is a predicted model, not a curated record. The transcript is spliced from 3 exons. Lineage: Eukaryota; Metazoa; Chordata; Mammalia; Carnivora; Mustelidae.
CAACGCUCUGCCGGCAAGAGGGGCAAAGAGUGGGUCCGAGGGCGCUCGGGCGUCAGGGAACGGGCGUGGCGAGACGCCGCUGGACCCCGACGGGUGUGGUGCUGCUGACACCGAAAGCAAGGUCGGAGGGCUCCUGGGCUGAGUCCAGAACUACAGAAGGAGCAGCGGGAUUCUGUUGUCCUUGGGACCGUGCCUGGCAAACAGCUCUCCGUUGACCAACAAGUAGCCGCUUGCUUUCUGUGGACGGCCAUUCUGAAGGGAGCGGACAACAUCCUGUUCGGAAGACGGCCACUCUGAUCAAGGAAGGGUGGGAAAUGGCAGUAGGAACUGUUCCUCUGCCUGCUGAAGGGACAGAGACUACAGAACUACAGAACGUGAUGACACAUCGUCACGGGGAUGCCCGUGGUCAUUCAGGAGGCGGCAGAUGGGUCCCCACAGGAAGAGACACUGACUCCGGACCUGGCUUUGCUAAGCCAGAGGUGGAUGGAUGUGCUCAGAGAGCCAGAAACUAACCAGAACGGAGACCAACAUUUCUUCAGACCAAGGACCACCAUUGCCAGCCUGUAAUGUCCCACAGUGGGCAGAGAGAUAUCCUUCUCGGAGACUGGUUUGGUAGAGAAAUGGGAGAGGCGAUUAAAGCAUUGGUUGUCUAAAAUGGGGUGGGGGCAUGGAUGGGGAGAUAAAGUAAUGACUAAAUGAGUUAUGUCAUAAGGGAAAUCCAGUGCGCCAUGAAUUCCUCCAAAGAGGCUCUGAGCAAGAGAUGCUGUGUUGUCUUAGCUCAAUUAUACUGGAUGUCCACAAGGGCAAAGUGAAACCAUGCAUGUGCUGACACCACUCCUGCUUCUGCACCCUGACCAGAUCGAGGAAAGGGCUUCAAACCUGAUGACUGGCCUCACCCUGAGAGAUGUUUUCAUGCAAGAGAACGAUGGACCAGAAUGGUUCCCAAGAACUGGAUGGGAUACUAGUAAUGUGCUAUACUAUCAUUUUGCUGCAAGGGGUCAUGUGGCCAGAGGCUAGGGGUGUGUGUGUGUGACAGAGAGAGAGAGAGAGAGAGAGGAAUAACAGAAGAAAAUACAUAUAUGGGUCUUAGCACAGAGGUCUUAAAUCUCCUGUAAUUUCCUAAAAGGUAAGAGCACUAAAAGCAUCUUCUGUUCUAUCAUUUGCUCUUUGACCCCAGUUCCCGACACUGGGCUCCUAAAUCCCUUGGAAUCUCCUGGGAGAUGGUAGUGUCUUUUUUGUUUGUUUGUUUGUUUGUUUGU